AGAACGAACGCUGGCGGCAUGCCUAAUACAUGCAAGUCGAACGAACACUUCGGUGUUAGUGGCGCACGGGUGCGUAACGCGUGGGAAUCUGCCCUUGGGUUCGGAAUAACAGUUGGAAACGACUGCUAAUACCGGAUGAUAUCGAAAGAUCAAAGAUUUAUCGCCCAGGGAUGAGCCCGCGUAGGAUUAGCUAGUUGGUGAGGUAAAGGCUCACCAAGGCGACGAUCCUUAGCUGGUCUGAGAGGAUGAUCAGCCACACUGGGACUGAGACACGGCCCAGACUCCUACGGGAGGCAGCAGUAGGGAAUAGUUGGACAAGUGGGCGCAAGCCUGAUCCAGCAAUGCCGCGUGAGUGAUGAAGGCCUUAGGGUUGUAAAGUCUACGUUUACCGAGUAUGAUAAUGACAGUAUCGGG
Molecule: ribosomal RNA, 414 nt
Filed under: uncultured soil bacterium
Lineage: Bacteria
Description: bacterial SSU rRNA
Rfam family: Bacterial small subunit ribosomal RNA
Source: RNAcentral